Molecule: long non-coding RNA, 232 nt
Filed under: Dermacentor andersoni
Lineage: Eukaryota; Metazoa; Arthropoda; Arachnida; Ixodida; Ixodidae
Description: uncharacterized LOC126540677
Source: RNAcentral
UAUGUUAAGCACACCAGGCCCAAGCUUGCUUUAUGCAGCGCUUGCAAACUUUGUUUGAGGGACACUAAAGAAAAAACAAUUCGAGCUUUUUGACAGCGUCCAGUCAUGCUUUGUUAAGUUUUUGCCGGUAAAGAUAGGCUGAAGUGCAUUGUAAAAUAGCUGAAAACCGAACUUAGCAAGUUCGGAUAACCUUUACUAUGCUACAACGGCUAAAAUACAUGAAAGUAUGAGG